RNAcentral lists this ribosomal RNA (360 nucleotides) under uncultured bacterium. RNAcentral's name for it is "bacterial SSU rRNA". It matches the Rfam family "Bacterial small subunit ribosomal RNA", at positions 442 to 793 of the family's 1533-position model. The record is from RNAcentral.
AGGCUACUGAGACUAAUACUCUUGGAUAGUGACGUUACUCGCAGAUAAGCACCGGCUAACUCUGUGCCAGCAGCCGCGGUAAUACAGAGGGUGCGAGCGUUAAUCGGAUUUACUGGGCGUAAAGCGUGCGUAGGCGGCUUUUAAGUUCGGAUGUGAAAUCCCCGAGCUUAACUUGGGAAUUGCAUUCGAUACUGGGAAGCUAGAGUAUGGGAGAGGAUGGUAGAAUUCCAGGUGUAGCGGUGAAAUGCGUAGAGAUCUGGAGGAAUACCGAUGGCGAAGGCAGCCAUCUGGCCUAAUACUGACGCUGACGGUACGAAAGCACUAGGGGACGUCAAACAGGACUUAGACUACCCCUGGUAG